UCUAUAUUUGAUUGAUGAAAUGUGAAAAAUUACUCUUUUUUUUUGUAGUCACCAAAUUUUGUUUUUUGCUCAAUAUACGUUUCUCCUCAUUUAAACCCAGUUUUGUUUGAAACUAGGAAAUUGUGCCUUCGUUAUUUACUGGAGCUCAUGCAUUACAUUGUUCUGCAUUUUCUUCAAAUUUCCAGCAUUUUUUUCUUGUUCAAAGACUGCUGAGGCAUAAUCAAUGCAACUAUUAGAAUCUAUAUAAAAUAUAAUAGCGAUAGGUUUUUGAGACUUCGUUUCCGGGAGGGGACUAUGGGUGAACAGACUGUCGAGAUUCGUCGUGCAAGAGAAGCUAUCAAGCAAAAAAUGCGAGCUGGGGAUUACACUGCUGCAAGGACCUUAAUUCUUGAAGCUCUGAAGGUCUUCCCAACACUUGAUCGAGCAUCGGAGAUGCUCACAGUCUGUGAAAUCCUUUGCUCUGCAGAAAUGGAGCUGCCGGGCUCAGGAAUUGAUUGGUACUGGGUGCUUCAGCUCUUUGCUUCAGCUACUCCCGAUGCGAUCAAGGCCCAGUAUCAAAAGAUUGCAAGCCAGCUGAAUCUAAUUAAGAAUGACUUCCCUGGCACUGAGUUCGCCCUUGAGUUUGCAGCUGAUGCUUUCUCUGUGCUUUCAGAUCCUAUAAAGAGGGCAGCAUUUGAUUCCAAGAGAAAUGCGUUUCAAGACCUGUCUCAGGAUCACAAUACGGUGAACCCUUCUAGGCUUAAGAGAGCAGCAAGUGGGGUUUAUAGUGGAAAUGGAGAUGUUGGUGAUAAACAGAAGAGGAAAAUUUAUGAUUUGGAAGCAAGUUGGGUUACACAUCAAGUGAACUCCUCAGAUAAUGACAAUCCCCUAAAGGCUUUGGGAGUUUUAGAAGGAAAUCUUGUAUCCAGAAAACGGCCAGAGAAGGACUUUUACGACUUCGAGAACAGUAAGAAGGCCGAACUCUUUUCCGUGGGUCAAAUUUGGGCAGCUUAUGAUCAAGAAAUAAUGCCUCGGCGUUAUUGCAAAAUUGAUAAGGUCAUAGCUCAGAAACCUCAAAUCUAUGUCACAUGGUACAAAGCUUGCCCGUGCCAAUCCUCUGAGAAGAAAUGGCAGGAUGCCGGCUUUCCAUUUGCCUGUGGAACCUUCACUCUUGAGCCGAACAAAAUGACUCUUACUGACGCUUCUAUGCUCUCUUACAUACUUUCUGAUGGAGUGACUAAAGAGACGCUUGAGAUUUACCCAAAGAAGGGUGAGGUUUGGGCUAUCUAUAGAGAUCGGAACAUGGAUUGGUGCUCUAACCCGGGGAUGAGGAAGAAUUCUACGUUUGACAUUGUUGAAAUUCUUGAUGAUUGUUUGAAAGAUUCUGCUGCUAAUGUUGCCUACUUAGUGAGGGUUAAUGGGUUUAAAAAUGUAUUUCAGAGGUACUCGAGGAGAGGGAUUGAGCUAUCUUUCAAAAUCCCUGCUGAUAAGCUUUUAAUGUUCUCCCACAGGAUCUCAGCAUUUAGAUUCAUCGGUGGAGAACUAAGUGGGAUAUCAAAUGGGAUGUUAGAGUUGGACCCAUUGGCCAUACCAGAUAAUUUGGUUCAAGAUUUCUCAUGUUCUGCUGUUGGACUUGUGGAUUUAACCUCCCAAUCAGAUGAAGAAAAAGACUGCAGUGAUGAUGCUAGCACUACCCUUCUCAUGAAUCCCUCCACAAGCAUGGUAAAUAUUGGGGGAUCAAAAUCAUGGUUCUGGAAUCGAAAAGUAAAAUUGGCACAAAAUGACUUCGCGCACGAUCAAGUUUGGGCAGUUUAUAAUUGUUCGGAUGCAAUGCCUCGAUCAUAUGUCAAAGUAAACAAUGUGGUAUCACCCACCAAAGUAUCUGUCACGAUCUUAGAACCACACCCAAGGUUCGACAAAGAGAUACGAUGGGUGGAGGAGGAGUUACCAUUUGUAUGUGGGAUAUUUAGAGCUAGCAAAACCAUAUUGAACUUAGAAAUGUACAAGUUCUCGCACCUUGUUAACUGUGAUAGGAGCUCUAAGAAAACUUUCUACAGAAUUUUCCCAAGGAAGGGUGAGAUCUGGGCAAUGUACAGGAAUUGGGACAUCGAUUGGAAAACUUCUUCACUUGAUGGGUAUAAAUGUCGAAUGGUCGAGAUCCUGUCAGACUUCUCUGAGGAGAAUGGCGUGGGAAUGAUAUGCAGCUUAGUUCAGGUGCCAGGGUGUUUGACGUUUUUCCAGAGGCAGAUGCAUGAUGAGUUCCAGCUCACAAAGCAAAUCUCGAGGUUAGAAUUGCUAAGCUUAUCUCAUCGAGUCCCAGCAUUCACUGUGAUUGGGAUAGAACAUCCUGACAUUCCGAAAGGAUUGCUGCAUCUUGAACCUGAUGCGCUGCCUCCAAAGCUCAUCAGCUAGAAAAAGCAGCGCUUUUUGGCUGAUUUCAGUAAUUACAUUACUACUGGUGGAAGAAAUAAAUGUUGAGAUCGCCGAGUUGAUCAAGGCGUCAGGUUAAGGUUCUGGACUGGAAGGGUCUUGUUUCAAAUCCCUCUCUCAACAUUCUAUAUGUUUCAAAACUGACAGAAGAUACAGGAUUCAUGAAAUCUGACGCCAAGACUUUGGGAUAAAGAGUUUACUGUUAUUACUGUUAUUCAUGGAAGAAACAUACCCCAUUUUCGCUUCCUCCUGAUUCCUGGGUGUAGUGUCAACUCUUCAUUUCUGUGAAGGCUUGCAGUUAUGAAGUAGAGAAGUUCAAAGAAAUGUGAAAACCUACUCGAAUGGGUGAAAAAAGAAGCGCCUGAUCUCCAGGCAUCAUCUCUGAUGGUGGAUCUUCUCCUUCCGUCGUCCACUUUGAACAUUACCGUUUGAAAUUUUAUAAAAAGCGGGGGAAAUGGGUGAAAAAAGCAGAAGCGGCACCUUGUCACUUCCCAAAGACACUUUCGAGACAAAAGCGGACGAAGGGGUCUAAAAGCAACCCAAAGUGGUCGAAAAGCAGUCUACAGCGAACCAAAGCGCUAGUGCUGGAUCGUUUUUACUCAUUUUACAUAGUUUUCCCCUUUUUCUACAGAGGCUUCU
This is an RNA transcript of Asparagus officinalis (garden asparagus), 3048 nucleotides long. RefSeq lists it as uncharacterized. The record is from RefSeq and is a predicted model, not a curated record. The transcript has 4 exons. Lineage: Eukaryota; Viridiplantae; Streptophyta; Magnoliopsida; Asparagales; Asparagaceae.